Molecule: ribosomal RNA, 253 nt
Filed under: uncultured bacterium
Lineage: Bacteria
Description: partial 16S ribosomal RNA
Rfam family: Bacterial small subunit ribosomal RNA
Source: RNAcentral
UACGUAGGGUGCAAGCGUUAAUCGGAAUUACUGGGCGUAAAGCGUGCGCAGGCGGUUCGUUGUGUCGGCGGUGAAAGCCCCGGGCUCAACCUGGGAAUGGCCGUUGAAACUGGCGAACUGGAGUGUGGCAGAGGGGGGUGGAAUUCCGCGUGUAGCAGUGAAAUGCGUAGAGAUGCGGAGGAACACCGAUGGCGAAGGCAGCCCCCUGGGCUGACACUGGCGCUCAGGCACGAAAGCGUGGGGAGCAAACAGG